Long non-coding RNA from Sapajus apella (tufted capuchin), 129 nucleotides. RefSeq lists it as uncharacterized. The transcript is spliced from 3 exons. The record is from RefSeq and is a predicted model, not a curated record. NCBI's taxonomy places the organism in Eukaryota, Metazoa, Chordata, Mammalia, Primates, Cebidae.
UGGAAAAGAAAAAUAGGCAAAGAAUCAAUCAGACACAAUAAAAAAUGAUAAAGGGGAGAUCACCACAAAUCCCGCAGAAAUACAACUACCAACAGAGAAUAUUAGAAUAUUAUAAACACCUCUAUGCAA